ACGUAUCAUUUUCGUUCAUGACCAUAAAAUUGCUAAUUGAGCAUUGACAAUCCAGUAAGAUCAAGUACAUACUAUAUCUUCUCUCUUUAGAGAGUGACUAGUCUCGAGUUAUUAGUGUGAAAAACAACAACGCAUGUAUGUAGUUUCUCAAUAAAGAGUGAGUUCACUAAAUCGGACAAAACAGUUCCCAUACUCAUGCUAUAUGAGAACUCACUAGUUGGGAUAAAGCAAAGUAGUCAUUUGAUCUGAGAUGCUACAUUUGCCUUAUGGAUACAUCUUUGAUCAUAUCAUGCUUCAUAACCUAAGGUUCAUUCCGCACAUUGUUAGGAUCGCUGAUUUAUUCAUAGAGGCGUGUGAGUGUACAAUAAAAGAUCUCUUACCUUCAACUAUCGAUGAAGAAUACUCUAUGAUAUGUUUCAAGAGUCUAUAGUUAGAGUGCAUGAAUAUGAUUUAAGAAGUAUGUUCUAGAUCGCUUUCAUGGGAAUCACAUAGAUAGUAGAUAUGAAUAAACUAUCAACCAAACAAUGUGAUCAAGAGUAUUAAUUUGAAAAAUUACUGUAUUACAUUGUAAUUUCAAUUAAAUAGGUUAUCCACCUCUUCUGCUGAGCUUGGAUAGUCGUGACAUACUAUUAAGUGUCACUCAUGGCUUGUGGAAGCCCUAAGGAUUAGCACUCGCUAAUCUUCAUUAAAGGAAGAAUUAAAAAAUAGUUUCAGUUCAUAAUCAAUUAGUAAGAGCUCUAAUCACACAUUGCCUCAUUAUUAAGAACCUAAUGAAUUGUACUGAAAUAAAAGUUAAAUAAUUAAAUGAAAAGGUUCUUAUUGGCCCUUAAGUUAGUUUCGGGCUUCAUAGCCUAGUGGGCCCUUGAUCCAUCAAGCAUAACAAGUUAAAUGGUUUCACUUAAAACUACAAGCCCAAAAGUCCAACGAACACUAGUGUGAGACCGGCUCUAUAGUGAGAGAAUGCCACGCUUUGUAAUACCCUGUAUUUAACAAAAAAAUAUAAGUGUGUCUUUGUGUAUAUAUAUGUGGGUGAGCAAUUAUCUUAAUUCAAAUGUAAUGAUUUUCUUUGGGUUUCUGUAUGUUUAUACCAUAACUCGUAUUUUUUAUAUGUAAACUAGUCUCAGCGUAAAAUCCUUUUUGCUACAAAAUUAUUUCAAAACAAGUUAAUAUUAAUUUCACAUUCAUACUUAAUCAGAGAUGUUUUCAUUUGAAUUGAAGAACUAAGAUUAAAACGAGAUAAUAUGACAAUCAUGACUAGAGUUUGGCUUGAUUUUCUCACAAAGAUAAGAUGGCAUUUAGACAACCAUAGAGAAUAAAGAUAAGGGGUUAGUUACUACUCUAGAUAGGUUGAGGUGGGUUUAUUUAAUUUUUAGAGUAUGGAUGAGGCCUUUGGGUACCAAGAGGAUCCUCCAAUCACAUUCAUUCAUUCAUCGUAGAUCGUGCGGUCAUAAAUUAUUGUAAAUUUUUUUUUAUUUAAAAUUGAAUAUAAACAGUACCUGACAAAAACUAUCCGCACGAUGUACGAUGAAUGAAUGUGAUUAGAGGAUCCCCAGGAUCCUCUCUCCUUUUGGUAUUUGCCCACAUGCAUUGUAAUGAUUAUAAUCUUGUUCGGUUACCAUUACUUCCAAUGCUUGAUGUCCAAGUGUAGCAAAAGAUAUGAAAAGUGGCAUUGAAUGCUUAAUUGGAGAUUUCAUUUUUUUCUCCAAGUGAACCAUGGGACGAAUAGGAGACCAAGAAAACAACAGUAACACCACCCCAACAAAAAGAAGAAGAGCCAUUCUCCCACCAUAACUAUGGUAUAUGUUCACCAUACACCUAAUAAUUUGUCACCUUUUUUACCUAAUUCUAGUUAACUUUCACAUUAAAUGUUACUUUUUCAAUUUUGAAAAAAAAUUAACGAAGGUUAAGUCAAAGGACAUGUGACAUGACAAUGAUUAUACACCAUAAAUUAUGGUGAGCAUACACUAUAGAUUAUGAUGGUGAGCAAAAAUGCUUUCAUUUGUAAAUCCUCCAUACAUAGUGAAAUAGAAAGACAAACACCAUCUCAGUGGCUGUAAACACUACAAGAAAAUAUGGAUUAGGUGAUGAAAUUUUUUGUGGCGCGCAAAAAUUUAUCACAUUUGGGUAAAAUAAGUGACGCUUUUUUUAGAAACUGUCACAUAAUAAUUUUCACUGGACACUAAAAUACUUUGCGUCACAUAAACUUCUGAAUUUGCCACAAACUAUUGGGCAGAAAAUUUUACCGCCGAAUGAAAUGUUAAUAUGUGACCAAACUUUAAAAUUCAUUACAUAACAAAAAAGAAGGCCAGGUUUAUGCCAUUGGUCACAUAUAGUAUUAAAAUAAAAAAUAAAAAUAUACUGAAGAAAUUGUAUUAUUGAUAUAUAUAUAUACUAGAAAUUGAGCCCGCGCGAUGCCGCGGGUUUUAAAAUUAUGUUAAAUGUGUGAAAUAUAUUAAAACAUAUUCUCAACCAUAUCAAAAUUCAUAUACAUCCUAAUGUUCAACAAAGAACCAAAACAGUUUACAACAUGGUACUUGGCCCUCAAUAUGCAGAGAGCCCAUUCCCCAUCUUCAUUUUGCAAAAACAAUUCAUCAGUCAAUUUAUUCAUUUUUCUAUACCGAAAUUAAAGCUUUCUUAAAAAGCAUUAAUUUCAUGAAAAGCAUUCUUACCUGAUGAUUAUAGAGAUAUAUGCACAUCAUAACAGCAUUUAGACCUCCAGUAAUUGAAAGUGCAAUGAUCUAUUGCAAUUGGUAAGUAAUACUUAGUCACUCAACAAUUACGAAAUGGACCAAAUAAUAAAGAAAAAACCAAUCUUGGUUAAUUCAUUUAACUAAGAAGAAAGGCUGUGAAGUUCCGAAAUGAAUAUCCAGCCAUCUUUUGAAAUGUCAAAACUUACCUGGAAAUGCCGGAUUAGAUGGGUCUCAACCAAGUACGAAGCGAAUCCAAAAUGGGCACAAAUUUUCUGAAAUAAAAAACAAAAGCACAUGAGAUACUAAAAAAAGCCAUAAAAAAAAAAAGGGAAAUCAAAACCUUGUGUGGCAACAAACAUGCAGAACUUACCUUGAAAACCCAGAUCAAAGCAACCAAAAACCCAAAAAAAUUAUCGAAAUCAAACCAAAAAACCAGAUAAAUUAACAACCCUGACUACUAAUCGAAGAACAACAUAUGCGAGCCAUAAUCAACCAUUACACAUAUUUUGACAACAAUGUAGGAAAUCAGUGUAUCACAAAGUGAAAGCAAUCUCACAUUUGCCACACUUCUUAUUAGUAGAGCUAAACUACAAAAGCAGUCAACAAUUUAUGCCAUGAACAACUGAGGAUCAAAUACAUCUACUCUACAAUAUAAACAAAAAUUUGGAGGGACAGUUUGUAUGCUUUCCUAUUUCUCUCUGCGGUAAUUUUUCAUGUGUGGCUUUGUGCAUUCACACAUGCACAUUUGCCCACAUUUCUUUGCUGUUUUUUUUGUUACUAUUUGCCUUUCCUGAAUUUAUUAAGCAAAAUGUUAAAUUAUUCAUGUGUGAAUAGGUGGGUCUAGAGUCUGAAAUGGUGGGGGAAGCAUCUAGAUAAAACGUGGGGCUAAAACGGUGUGGGAACGAAGAGUGAGCCUGAUUCCAACAGAUACAAAGUAGUGGCAACAACCUCUAUUAAUAACCCCUAUUAAGUCAAUGAGUAGCCAACCUCUAUUUGUGCAGUUAUAUUUGGAACAUCCUAGUUUAUCUGAACCAAAUCCUUGAAAUGGGAACACAGUUGUUCAUAUGCAAGCAUGUCCGCUUAGCUGGUAUUGGCUUUACCUAAUUUACUUUUUAAGUCCAAUGUGAUAGAAAAUCCAUGUUUGUCUUGAUUUUACAUGAAAAAUACGAUGCAUGUCCCCUGAACAUACUGCUCAAGAAGCAAAUUUUGCUUGCUUGCAGCAUUUAGUAUAUAAACCACAAUAAGCAAUUUACUGAUCAUAAAAGAUAACUACGAAAUGAAAAAAUAUAAAAAUUUCAAUCUCAAAUUGUCUGCUGAUCUUAAAAACAAAAUCCAUGCAACUGAACCUAACUAAUACACAACUCGGCUGAGCCCAAGAUUUCAAUUUACUGGACAUAAAAGCAAAAGGUCACAUAAUUUUAUUAAGAUUUAUUUUCCUACGUUUUCUAGGCCCAUAUUACCAGUGAACGCCUAUUUUUCAACUAAAUAGGGAAUUUUCCCACGAAACUGAAAGCUAGGAACUUAGAACAAUGAAAUCAAACUUCAAUUAAACCAAUUUACAACCAGAUGAGAUGGAAAAUUAGCUAAUUAAUUAAUUAAUGAUUUAAUCAAGAACAAACCAAGAUAUCUACAACCCAAAUUAAACACAAAAUCAAGGUCCUUUCAGAAACAUAAGCUUAAGAAGACGAAAUCUGAAACCUUUCAAAAGCGCAGAAAUAGAGAGAAAAAUAUUGGGGGAAAAGUUGGGAAAUUUACCAAAGGGGUUUAGGUGGAGGCAUCUAGAGGAGACGAUCGGCAAGGCAGAUUGAAGCUCGAAAAGGCCGAGCUUGGACUCUGCGGCAGUGGCGAGAUCUAGGGUUUUUCCACAGAGAGAGGGAAACCUAGAUUGGGAAAAUAGGGAGAGAAAUAGACCUUGAUUCAAAGAAAAAUGGUGAAGCCCUAAAUCGAGCUGCUUGGUGCAGAGAAGAGUGAGGCGAGGAGGGAGACGGGGAGAGCAAGAGUCAAGCAGAGAAAAAGUGGGUCUACAGUCUGAAAUGGUGGGGAAGCAUCUAGAGAAGACGUGAUCUAAAACGGUGUGGGAACGAAAUGCGAACCUGAAAUAACAAAAAAGAAGCAGAGGUGAAAAUGGAAUGACACUGUCAAUGAAUAGUUUUUUUUUAUGUUGGGUUUUAGUAUAUGUAUAAUAUCUCUAUAUACUAAAACUUAGUAGGGAGGUACUGUGGAUGACCAGUGGGCGGACGAUUUUGCCCCUGGCUUUUUCAUCCGAUUGUUCUUCUCUUUGGUUUUUGGGGCAGCGAAAUGCCGCUUUUGCCCACUGCUUCCACGCGUCGGAUCCUCUAUUUGGAACCAGGAUCCUCUCCUGAGCAGUUUCCUAGGGAUCCUGCAAUCUUGUCCGUUCAUUUUAUAUCGUGCGGUCAGUUUUCGUUAGAUACUAUUCAUAUUUGAAUUUUAAAAUUUAAAUUUUAAAUAAUUUCUGACCGCACGAUA
Molecule: long non-coding RNA, 5177 nt
Filed under: Malus domestica (apple)
Lineage: Eukaryota; Viridiplantae; Streptophyta; Magnoliopsida; Rosales; Rosaceae
Description: long non-coding RNA (MDOM_LNC004527)
Source: RNAcentral